This 824-nucleotide ribosomal RNA is filed under the name uncultured bacterium. RNAcentral describes it as "bacterial SSU rRNA". It matches the Rfam family "Bacterial small subunit ribosomal RNA", at positions 8 to 918 of the family's 1533-position model. The record is from RNAcentral.
AGAGUUUGAUUAUGGCUCAGAAGGGCACCUGCGACUGACUCACCAUGCAGGUCGAGCGCCCCGCAAGGGGAGCGGCAGACGGGUGAGUAACGCGAGGGAGCAUACCCUUUGGUUCGGAAUAACUCACUGGAAACUUGAGCUAAUACCGGAUACGUCCGUAAGGAGAAAGAUUUAUCGCCAAAGGAUUGGCCCGCAGUCCGAUUAGCUAGUUGGAUGAGGUGAACGGCCUCACCAAGGCUACGAUCGGUAGCUGGUCUGAGAGGAUGAUCAGCCACAUUGGGACUGAGACACGGUCCACACUCCUACGGGAGGCAGCAGUGGGGGAUAUUGGACAAUGGGCGCAAGCCUGAUCCUGCCAUGCCGCGUGAGUGAUGAAAGCCUUAGGGUUGUAAAGCUCUUUUGUCCGGGAAGAUAAUGACUGUACCGGAAGAAUAAGCCCCGGCUAACUUCCUGCCAGCAUCCGCGGUAAUACGAAGGGGGCUAGCGUUGUUCGGAAUCACUGGGCGUCUAGCGCACGUAGGCGGACCGUUGAGUCGGAGGUGACAGCCUGGGGCUCAACCCCAGAACUGCCUUCGAUACUGGCAGUCUUGAGUUGGUAGAGGUUGGUGGAACUCCGAUGUGAGAGAAAUCGUAGAUAUUCGGAAGAACACUGUCGGAAGCUGGCACUGGAAAUUACUGAACUUAGUGAAAACGUGGUAGCAAAGGUUAGAACCCUGGAAGACACCUGUAACAUGAGACUAUCGUUAUUAUGCAGCUCUCUUGGACACUAACGCGUAAGCUCUUGCCUGGGAGUCGGCCCAGAUAAAAUCAAUGAAUUGACGGGG